CCUACGGGAGGCAGCAGUGAGGAAUAUUGGUCAAUGGGCGUAAGCCUGAACCAGCCAAGCCGCGUGAGGGAUGAAGUUCCUAUGGACCGUAAACCUCUUUUAUAAGGGAAUAAAGUGCGGGACGUGUCCCGGAUUGUAUGUCCCUCAUGAUUAAGGAUGGGCUAAAUCCGUGCAAGCAGCCGAGGUAAUACGGAGGGUCGGAGCGUUAUCCGGAUUUAUUGGGUUUAAGGGGUGCGUAGGCGGCCUUUUAAGUCAGCGGUGAAAGCCUGGGGCUCAACCAUAGAAUUGCCGUUGAAACUGGGAAGCUGGAGUACGUUAGAGGCAGGCGGAAUGCGUGGUGUAGCGGUGAAAUGCGUAGAUAUCACGCAGAACCCCGAUUGCGAAGGCAGCCUGCCAAGCCGUGACUGACGCUGAUGCACGAAAGCGUGGGGAUCAAACAGGAUUAGAUACCCGUGUAGUC
This 460-nucleotide ribosomal RNA is filed under the name uncultured bacterium. RNAcentral describes it as "partial 16S ribosomal RNA". It matches the Rfam family "Bacterial small subunit ribosomal RNA", at positions 338 to 795 of the family's 1533-position model. The record is from RNAcentral.